Lathyrus oleraceus (garden pea) is the source of this 2080-nucleotide long non-coding RNA. RefSeq lists it as uncharacterized. The record is from RefSeq and is a predicted model, not a curated record. Lineage: Eukaryota; Viridiplantae; Streptophyta; Magnoliopsida; Fabales; Fabaceae. The transcript is spliced from 6 exons.
AAAAAAAAAAGAAGAAAAGGAACAGACUUCAUCGUCCUCGUUGCUUACAACGUCUCUCUCUCGCCCUCAUCGCUUCAGACUCGCUCUCCACGUCUCUCAACGUCUCACUCUCGUCCGCAUCGCUCACAACGUCUCUCUCUCGCCCUCAUCGCUUACAACGUUUACCCAUCGCUCAACCUCAUUCACCAGAGAGAGUGCAAACCCAUGGUUUUUAAAGAGAAAAGUCAAGCGGGAACCUCACCUUCGGCGACGAUAACGAAUCAGGGUUUCAGAUUGAUGCUCAAAGGUUUGAAAGGAGAAAGUUUCCAGAAUCGCUUUUUGAUGCUCAGAAUUGAUUGCUCUCUUUGAUGCCUGGAAUUGGAACGGAACCGAUGAAGCAAACAAAUCAUCUUUGAAGAAGUUCAAACCAGCAUUAAACUUAGUUAAUUCGCCCGCUAUUGUGUCGUAAGAAAGAUCGUGACCGAGAGCAAUUACAUUAGUUCCAAAGACACCAGAGAGGUCGACAAUUGGGUUUGCUGUUGGUUUCAGUCCAAGAACCGAAUAAAUCAAACCUUCCAAUAUGAGAUAAGUUUCUACCGGUUCGUAAUUUCUUAAGUUCUUACUGGUUUGUAAUCCUUCCUAAGUUUCUACUGGUUUGGUAGGCUCAAGAUAAGAACACAACAUCUUUUCAACGGUUCAGAAUUUGUUUGCCUUUUUAAGAUUCAAGAAGCUUUUCUUAGGUUUAUACUCAUGGUCUGUUUCCAAUUCUGUUUCAGGUAGCGGUAUUGUAGCAGAAAUAAUGCAGUUUGAAUCUCGGGCUGCGGCGGCUAGAGGAAAUGUAGAAUUGGCAUGGCUUUGAGAUGUAGGGAGUAACAUUGCUCGGCGUAUCCAAUUCGUAAUUUCGACUGUAGCAAGCGGAUUACGUAUAGAGGUUCACAAUCAAUUGCAGUAACAAGAAGUGACUUUUUUUUUUGCAGGUUAUGGUUGGGUAACUUGGGACUCAAAAUAUGCAUUCCAAGGGAUAUAUAUUUAAUCAACAAGUUCUGUGUGGCGAAUUGCAUCCAUCAUACACAGUUGGAGCUCUCCAUAUAACAGUGAUAACAAAAUACUGUGUAGUACAUACAAACCACUGAAAACAAUAGAAAUUUAAGUGAGGCGGGUAAGUACAGCAGAAUCACUUGUGAACAACAUGAUGCAGCACUAGAUCCUUCGGCGGGUCUAUCAACAAGAACCAUCCCUGCUGGAUUUUGAGCUGGCUGAGCCCUUGGUAAUCUCUUGGCAAUUUCAUAAAAUACUUCAUUAGCAUUGGCUGCAGAUUUGGCAGAGGUUCGGUGUCUUCUACUUGAUACUGUUUGAUAUUUGUGAUGGUGAGUUGAAUAUGAAUCCCUGAAAGAUAUCAUCACAAAGCACAACGGAUACCUUUUCAACAGUUUGUACCUUGGAGCACGAGAAUCUCCGCGGCCCACAUCAGUCCCUCUUGAAGCACCAGCCCUUCUCCUCGCGGUUAUCCCCCAAGGUUUCUUCUGGUUAUCCUUCAAAGAGUUGGACCGACUAAUGGGUUCCCUCGUUGUUCAGCUAUGAAUCCGACAAUACGACUUCACUGCUGGGAUGUGCUUCAGACAUGACCAUUUCAUCAUUGCCAUGUGUUUCCGAUAUCACUACCUCAGUCAUGUGUCGUGCUUCAGUAACAAAUAAUCUCAUCAAUAUGUUGCGUCUCAGAUACAGUUCUGUUCUGAUUGUUCAUGCUGCUAGCGGAAUUCUUCAUUGGCUGGGAAAUGUUGAGGGAUUUAUAUGAUAUUAACAUGAGCAUUUUGCCACUGCAAGUUGGAUGACAUGCUAUGCAACAUCAUAAGGUUAUGACGAUAAUUGCCUCGGCAACGGUAGCAGCAUCUAACGGCUCACGAGGCACGGCUAGAGGACCUGCGGUCAUCGAAGCCAAUACAACAAUCGAGAGGUAGCAGCAAUUCUAAUCAGUAUCAUGGCAACCGAAUCACCGGGGAGUCGGUGCUUCCACAGAUGUACAUCACAGUAGUUACUCAUGGUCAUAAUGCUGAUGAAGAAUCCACUACACAUGAGCUUGAUCCGGUGUAGAGAAAUUAUG